AACCAGGGAUGGGGCUGGGAUGGAACCAGGGAUGGGGCUGGGAUGGAACCAGGGAUGGAGCUGGGAUAGAACUGGGAUGGAACCAGGGAUGGAGCUGGGAUAGAACCAGAGAUAGGGAUGGAACCAGGGAUGGAACCAGGGAUGGAACCAGAGAUGGAGCAGGGAUGGGGCUGGGAUGGGAUGAGACAGGGAUGGAACCAGGGAUGGAACCAGGGAUGGGGAUGGCAUGAGGCUGGGAUGGGGCUGGGAUGGGAUGGGGCUGGGAUGGAACCAGGGUGGAGCCAGGAUGCAGCAGGGAUGUGGCUGGGAUGGAACAGGGAUAGGGAUGGGACUGGGAUGGAAUUGGGGUGGAGCUGGGAUGGAGCUGGAAUGGAACCAGGGUGGAGCUGGGAUGGAAUUGGGAUGGAACCAGGGAUAGAGCUGGGAUGGAACCAGGGUAGAGCUGGGAUGGAACCAGGGAUGGAGCUGGGAUGGAACCAGGGAUGGAGCUGGGAUAGAACUGGGAUGGAACCAGGGAUGGGACAGGGAUGGAGCCAGGAUGGAGCUCCAGGGAUGCAGCCCCUGGCACUGCCCAGGAACAUGGCUGAUCUCUCAAAACUGGGAAGUUCUGAUCCCACUUUUUGUUGAGUCCCUCGCACCCUGGAUCUGUGUCUGUGCUGAUGAUAAGAAUCACAGGGAAGGUGUUUGAACCUCAGAUCCUGGAGGAAAGAUGGAUCUGGGAGGACCUUGGGAAAGGUGUUUGAACCACAAAUCCUGGAGGAAAGAUGGAUCUGGGAGGACCUUGGGAAAGGUGUUUGAACCUUGGAUCCUGGAGGAAAGAUGGAUGUGGCAGGACCUUGGGAAAGGUGUUUUAACCCUGGAUCCUGGAGGAAAGAUGGAUUUGGCAGGACCUUGGAGCAGUUUCCCAGUAGCCAAAGGAGCUCCAAGAAGGAAUUCCCUGGAAAGGGAAAUUUUCACCUGGAUAAGGAGAAUGGCCUCGAGCUGAAGGAGGGAAGGUUUAGAUGGGAGGUAGGAAGAAAUUCCUGUCUGUGAGGGUGAGGAGGGGCUGGGAUGGAAUUCCCAGAGAAUCUGUUCCAUCCCUGGGAAUGUCCAAAGCCAGGCUGGAGCAUCCUGGGGUGCUGGAGGUGUCCCUGAAUGGCAGAGGAACAGGAUGAGCUUUAUUUAAAGCCCAACCCAAGCCAUCCCAGGAUUCUCCAUCCAUAUCAAUAAUCCUUCAAUAAUUCCAGUUAAACUGCUGAAUCCCAGUGAUUUUUGGGAGAUAUUUCUGCUGGAUUUAAGGAUCCUCCAAUUCCAAGCCUUCCAGAAGCCUCAACAGAGAAGAGGCCCUGCCUCUGCAGCCCUCCCUGAAUUGCUUUUUUCCUGCUCCAGAGCCUGAAUCCCAGGAGAAGCUCCAAGCAAUGUCCCCAGAUCAAAGCCAUCCUGCAGAUGAAGGCUCAAAUUGUGCAAUUUUGUGGGAUUUUCCCAGAUCUUUAUCUUUUGUGAGCUCCUGGUCAGCUCCCAGCCCUCCGGUCACUUGAUGUGGCUCUUGAAAGGCUUGUUUGGAAAGCAAUCCCAAAAAUCACAUUUCAAGGAGAGGUUCCUCCCUUCAGCACUUCCCAAAUUUGGGGUUUGGGGCUCAGAAUUUGGGGUCUGUGGGGCAGGGAGCCACAAAGAUGAUUUUCCCUUCGUUUUGGGGUGGAAAAACUCCUCCAAAAUCCAAUUUCCAGCUGGGAGAUUUGAGGGGAAGGCAAACCUUGGAGGCAGGGUUUGAAAAGAGAUUUAAACCAACCUAAGACUACACAAAGUGCUCCAAAUUUGGCUGAUUUUAAUUAAAGUGGAGUGAUUAAGCUGUCAGAGUGAGGAGAGGGAUGUGUUGUAGGAUCUCUUUAAUGGGGUUUGGAGUGUGAGGAGGAUCCUGCUGGAGGGGAGGAUCUUGUUUUCCUGACAGUUCAGGCUGCCAGAACAUGACUCAUGAAUUUAAAAAAAAAAAAAAAAAAAAAAAAAAAAGAAUUCUAACAGCAAUUUUAAACAGAAUUUUUAACCCUAUAAAAUCCCUUCCAGCAUCAGAGCAAUCCUGGUGCUUUGUAUGCUUUGUACCUCUCAAAUUGGGCAUUUUUUAGGGACUGGUUGUUCCAUUUCCCAUUUCAUUUCAUUUCUGGGCCCUGUGCCCUGGGAUUUUUGUGUCCCUGGUGAGGGAUUUGUUUGUGUUUUUAGGGCUGUCAGAGUCAUUCCGUGCUGUGCACGAGGGUGAGGCUGAAUUUAGCUCUCGCCAAAGCUGCAUUUAGGACUUUGUAAAAAAAGAAAACAGGAGCUAAACUCAGCCCUGAGCCUGGAUUAGCACAGCCAGGUGAUGGUUGUGGGGUGGGAGGGAGAUUUGUGGGGUGAGAGGGAGAUUUGUGGGGUUUGGGAGAAGUUUGUGGGCUCUGAGGGAGGUUUGUGGGGUCUGAGUGAGGUUUGUAGGGUGUGAGGGCCUUUUGUGGGCUCUGAGGGAGGUCUGUGGGCUCUGAGGGAGGUCUGUGGGAUCUGAGGGAGGUUUGUGGGAUCUGAGGGAGGUUUGUGGGGUCUGAGUGAGGUUUGUAGGGUGUGAGGGCCUUUUGUGGGCUCUGAGUGAGGUUUGUGGGGCAUGAGUGAGGUUUGUGGGGUCUGAGGGCCAUUUGUGGGAUCUGAGUGACAUUUGUAGGGUGUGAGGGCCUUUGGUGGGUUCUGUGGGAGGUUUGUGGGGUCUGAGUGACCUUUGUAGGGUGUGAGGGCCAUUUGUGGGCUCUGAGGGAGGUUUGUGGGCUCUGUGGGAAGUUUGUAGGGUCUGAGGGCCAUUUGUGGGAUCUGAGUGAUGUCUGUGGGGUCUGAGGGAGGUUUGUGGGGUCUGAGUGACCUUUGUAGGGUGUGAGGGCCAUUUGUGGGCUCUGUGGGAGGUUUGUGGGCUCUCUGGGAGGUUUGUGGCCUCUGAGGGAACCUCGUGGGGUUUGAGGCUGUUCCAGAACCUUCUGGCUGGCAGCAAAGCGCCUUCCCUGGGGCUCAUCCCUCCCCAGGCCGCUGGGGUUCCGUGCUCCUCUAACAACCCUGAAUUCAUUCUUCUCCUGCCAUCUCCCUGCCUACCUUGGCACGGCAGGAGCUCCAGGCCGGGCUGUGGGGCUGCACUGUCCCGUUUGUGGGGCCAGACCCGAGCCC
This is a long non-coding RNA of Serinus canaria (Common canary), 3147 nucleotides long. RefSeq lists it as uncharacterized. The transcript has 3 exons. The record is from RefSeq and is a predicted model, not a curated record. NCBI's taxonomy places the organism in Eukaryota, Metazoa, Chordata, Aves, Passeriformes, Fringillidae.